ACUCAAAGGAAUAGACGGGAGCCCGCACAAGCAGUGGAGUAUGUUGUUUAAUUCGACGCAACGCGAAGAACCUUACCAGGUCUUGACAUCCAUCGGACCGGUCGUAAUGGACCGGGUGCCCUUCGGGGAACGAUGAGACAGGUAGUGCAUGGUUGUCGUCAGCUCGUGUCGUGAGAUGUUGGGUUAAGUCCCGCAACGAGCGCAACCCUUGCGGAUAGUUGCUAGGCAGAGAUGCAAGCACUCUAUUCGGACUGCCGUUGACAAAACGGAGGAAGGCGGGGAUGAUGUCAAAUCAUCAUGCUCUUUAUGAUCUGGGCCACAAACGUACUACAAUGGCGCGAACAACGGGCAGCGAAGGCGCGAGCCGGAGCCAAUCCCCAAAACGCGUCCCAGUUCAGAUUGCAGGCUGCAACUCGCCUGCAUGAAGUCGGAAUUGCUAGUAAUCGCGGAUCAGCAUGCCGCGGUGAAUACGUUCCCGGGCUUUGUACACACCGCCCGU
This 499-nucleotide ribosomal RNA is filed under the name uncultured bacterium. RNAcentral describes it as "bacterial SSU rRNA". It matches the Rfam family "Bacterial small subunit ribosomal RNA", at positions 899 to 1397 of the family's 1533-position model. The record is from RNAcentral.